GUGGGGAAUAUUGGGCAAUGGGGGAAACCCUGACCCAGCAACGCCGCGUGAAGGAAGAAGGCCUUCGGGUUGUAAACUUCUUUGAACAGGGAAGAAACAAAUGACUGUACCUGAAAAACAAGCCACGGCUAACUACGUGCCAGCAGCCGCGGUAAUACGUAGGUGGCAAGCGUUAUCCGGAUUUACUGGGUGUAAAGGGCGUGCAGGCGGUUUCGUAAGUCGGAUGUGAAAUUUCCGGGCUCAACCCGGAGACUGCAUCCGAAACUGCAGAACUUGAGUACUGGAGAGGAUAGUGGAAUUCCUAGUGUAGCGGUAAAAUGCGUAGAUAUUAGGAGGAACACCGGUGGCGAAGGCGACUAUCUGGACAGUAACUGACGCUGAGGCGCGAAAGCGUGGGGAGCAAACAGGAUUAGAAACCCCAGUAGUCC
Molecule: ribosomal RNA, 428 nt
Filed under: uncultured bacterium
Lineage: Bacteria
Description: bacterial SSU rRNA
Rfam family: Bacterial small subunit ribosomal RNA
Source: RNAcentral